Molecule: ribosomal RNA, 406 nt
Filed under: uncultured bacterium
Lineage: Bacteria
Description: partial 16S ribosomal RNA
Rfam family: Bacterial small subunit ribosomal RNA
Source: RNAcentral
AAUAUUGCGCAAUGGAGGAAACUCUGACGCAUCGACGCCGCGUGAGCGAUGAAGGUCUUCGGAUCGUAAAGCUCUGUCCUUGGGGAAGAAGGUCUUCGGACUUGACGGUACCCCAGGAGGAAGCCCCGUCUAACUACGUGCCAUCAGCCGCGGUAAUCCGUAGGGGGCAAGCGUUGUCCGGAAUUAUUGGGCGUAAAGGGUGCGUAGGCGGCCUUUUAAGUCAGAUGUGAAAGCCCACGGCUUAACCGUGGGACUGCAUUUGAAACUGGAGGGCUUGAGUAUCGGAGAGGGUAGUGGAAUUCCCAGUGUAGCGGUGGAAUGCGUAGAUAUUGGGAGGAACACCAGUGGCGAAGGCGACUACCUGGACUGAUACUGACACUGAGGUGCGAAAGCGUGGGGAGCAAAC